This is a long non-coding RNA of Cryptotermes secundus, 1746 nucleotides long. RefSeq lists it as uncharacterized. The transcript has 3 exons. NCBI's taxonomy places the organism in Eukaryota, Metazoa, Arthropoda, Insecta, Blattodea, Kalotermitidae. The record is from RefSeq and is a predicted model, not a curated record.
UCCUGUUAUGGUGGCUGGUGCUUGUAGUGUAAUUUGUCCGGUAAAUUGCGUCUGUAAACGUAUUCAGAGUGAACGUGGACGUGCUGUGUUUGCUGAUUUAGACUCGACACCCUCACUGUGUCUACGAGAGCAGAAACAACAGACAGACGUCAGGACUCCUUAGAUAGGGGAUCAGCCCAUCUCAAGGCCGCUACCUACACCGGAUAACACAAACACAACCUCGGGAGACCUCUACAUGCCGGACCGGUGGCUGGAAGUCAUUGUGAGCAUAUGGGAGGCCCUGCUACUGGCCAUCUCGACACAGGAUCUCGUGGUUUUCCUCUGGCUUCAAGCGAAUGCUGAGAAGGUUCGCAAGUUCCGAGCUGCUAGUGCCCACUUCUGUUGCAGCCCUCACGAUAUGGACAAGAAAAAUCGAAACUGCUCCUGUAUAAAGGCCAUUAAAUUAUCUCUCUGUAUGACGUAACUGGGGGCUGCUCCCCGGCGCGGGAAUCUCACCGUACCGACGCCCUCUCGACGUGGUGCUUAAUAAAGCACACGGGCUUCACGAAUUACGGACACGCAUGCGUUGGCCUGCACGCCCCACCGUCUCCUUGUCCCUCGAGACUUUAUACACUUGCCUUGUCUUGUUAGUUCGUUAAUUAAAUUGUGAUUAAUUGGGUUUGGUUGCGGGUUUGGGGAGCGUUCCUCUGAAGCAGCAGCAGAGACCGCGAGCAGACGUCGGGAAACGAACCGAGCAAGCCUUCAUUCAGUUCUGUGUGGUUUUCCUCAGUCUCUCAAGGCAAAUGCCGGGAUAGUAGCCCGACCACUUCGUUUCAAAUCAUCACUCAUCGUACUGUUCAAUACUGUAAUGUUCAGACAGUAACGGACUCAGCAAAUAAACUUAUAUUGAUUUGUUUCUGUGGACAAGUGAGCACAGUGCAGCGGGCCGCACAGAACAGAGACAGAAAUCGGGGAGUAUUAUAGUGCCGUGUAGUCUGUCAGCAAACUGCUUGCUACCAGCUUCACAUUGGUUUCAUUCAUGGCUUACUCUUCAGCCCUGAAGAUGGAGGUAGCAUGAUACUGUUAUAUCCCAGAAGACAGAACUCUUCAAGAAAGUGAGUUACAGAGCAUCCAUAAUGGAUAAUUUAAUUUUCUGUUUUAGUGAAAUAUACUGUAAAACCUUCCAUAUUCAGCCAUAAAACCACUUUGCCUUUUGAAGUCAUUUUUUUCAUGUGUUGAACAAAGUUGUGCCAUUACUCAGCAAUGAAAUGAACUGAUGAAGGUUACAAUCAUCUGGGAUAUGACGCCAUUUAGCCUGGUAGAAGUAUACUGAUGUUUCAGAAGAAUAUGUAUAAACUUCUGUGAGAGUACAUGGCAUCUCAUUGCAAAAAAUAGCAUACUUAUAGUUGCCAUUGUCAUAACCGCAGAUUUAACAAUUUAACUAAUUUUAUUGUAUCAUAUGGAAUAGAUUUAAUGGUUUCUUAUUGUGCAUAAUGUUAUUAUUUGACACCAUUUUUUAUUUUUAUCAAGUGGGUCUGAGCUCAUCAAUGAGUAACUUUUUAUUUGGUGGUAGAUGAUCUGUGUGUAGUAAUUAUUUUCUAUGGUAAGUUAUGUAAUCUGUAUUUUACUACUUUGUGUUUGUUAUGCAAAAUUUAUGUACUAAUUCAAGUAACAUAAUUAUCCUUCCUUGCUUUUCUGAGUUUAAAUAAAUUUCAUUGGAAUGAGGUACGAGGAAUGUAGAAAGAGACAAAGAAAAAGUUUGAUGCA